RNAcentral lists this ribosomal RNA (584 nucleotides) under uncultured amoeba. RNAcentral describes it as "SSU rRNA". It matches the Rfam family "Eukaryotic small subunit ribosomal RNA", at positions 585 to 1175 of the family's 1831-position model. The record is from RNAcentral.
CCAGCUCCAAUAGCGUAUAUUAAAGUUGUUGCAGUUAAAAAGCUCGUAGUUGGAUUUCGGAAGGUCUUUAGUGGUCCGCCCCUUCGGGGAGCGGGUCACUGGCCUCCUAUGUUCCUAACGGUCCUCAUCCGCGAGGGUGGGGAAUCAACCGCUAGGAUCGUUUACUUUGAGGAAAUUAGAGUGUUCAAAGCAGGCGUAACUCGCCUCCGAAUACGUUAGCAUGGGAUAAUGGAAUACGACUUCGGUCUUGUUUCGUUGGUUUCGCUUGGCUGAAGUAAUGAUUGAUAGGGACAGUUGGGGGCAUUAGUAUUUAGUUGUCAGAGGUGAAAUUCUAGGAUUUACUAAAGACUGACCAAUGCGAAAGCAUUUGCCAAGGAUGUUUUCAUUAAUCAAGAACGAAAGUAGGGGGAUCGAAGACGAUCAGAUACCGUCGUAGUCUCUACCGUAAACUAUGCCGACCAGGGAUCCGGAGAGUUUGCAUGGAUGACUCCCCGGGCACCUUGUGAGAAAUCAUAAGUGUUUGGGUUUUGGGGGGAGUAUGGUCGCAAGGCUGAAACUAAAGAAUGACGAAGGCUCCCCCAUGC